Molecule: ribosomal RNA, 484 nt
Filed under: uncultured bacterium
Lineage: Bacteria
Description: partial 16S ribosomal RNA
Rfam family: Bacterial small subunit ribosomal RNA
Source: RNAcentral
GACGAACGCUGGCGGCGUGCUUAACACAUGCAAGUCGAACGAUGAACCCGGAGCUUGCCCCGGCGGAUUAGUGGCGAACGGGUGAGUAACACGUGAGUAACCUGCCCUUGACUCUGGGAUAACUGCUAGAAAUGGUAGCUAAUACCGGAUACGACCCUCGGUGGCAUCACCCGGGGGUGGAAAGAAUUUCGGUCAAGGAUGGACUCGCGGCCUAUCAGCUAGUUGGUGAGGUAACGGCUCACCAAGGCGACGACGGGUAGCCGGCCUGAGAGGGUGACCGGCCACACUGGGACUGAGACACGGCCCAGACUCCUACGGGAGGCAGCAGUGGGGAAUAUUGCACAAUGGGCGCAAACCUGAUGCAGCAACGCCGCGUGAGGGAUGACGGCCUUCGGGUUGUAAACCUCUUUUAGUAGGGAAGAAGCGAAAGUGACGGUACCUGCAGAAAAAGCACCGGCUAACUACGUGCCAGCAGCCGCCGUAA